This 205-nucleotide ribosomal RNA is filed under the name uncultured Bifidobacterium sp. Its description in RNAcentral is "partial 16S ribosomal RNA". It matches the Rfam family "Bacterial small subunit ribosomal RNA", at positions 292 to 508 of the family's 1533-position model. Lineage: Bacteria; Bacillati; Actinomycetota; Actinomycetes; Bifidobacteriales; Bifidobacteriaceae. The record is from RNAcentral.
CUGAGAGGGCGACCGGCCACAUUGGGACUGAGAUACGGCCCAGUACUCCUACGGGAGGCAGCAGUGGGGAAUAUUGCACAAUGGGCGCAAGCCUGAUGCAGCGACGCCGCGUGAGGGAUGGAGGCCUUCGGGUUGUAAACCUCCUUUUAUCGGGGAGCAAGCGAGAGUGAGUUACCCGUUGAAUAAGCACCGGCUAACUACGUGC